CCUACGGGAGGCAGCAGUGGGGAAUAUUGGACAAUGGGCGAAAGCCUGAUCCAGCAAUGCCGCGUGAGUGAUGAAGGCCUUAGGGUUGUAAAGCUCUUUUACCCGGGAUGAUAAUGACAGUACCGGGAGAAUAAGCUCCGGCUAACUCCGUGCCAGCAGCCGCGGUAAUACGGAGGGAGCUAGCGUUGUUCGGAAUUACUGGGCGUAAAGCGCACGUAGGCGGCUUUGUAAGUUAGAGGUGAAAGCCCGGAGCUCAACUCCGGAACUGCCUUUAAGACUGCAUCGCUUGAAUCCAGGAGAGGUGAGUGGAAUUCCGAGUGUAGAGGUGAAAUUCGUAGAUAUUCGGAAGAACACCCGUGGCGAAGGCGGCUCACUGGACUGGUAUUGACGCUGAGGUGCGAAAGCGUGGGGAGCAAACAUGAUUAGGUACCCUGGUAGUCCACGCCGUAAACGAUGAUAACUAGCUG
Molecule: ribosomal RNA, 467 nt
Filed under: uncultured bacterium
Lineage: Bacteria
Description: bacterial SSU rRNA
Rfam family: Bacterial small subunit ribosomal RNA
Source: RNAcentral